AACCACAGCCAUAUCACCCGGCAGCCCAAGACUGGUUACUCACCGAAGCUAAGCAGGGCUUAGCCUGGUCAGAAUCUAGAUGGGAGACCACAAGGGAAAGUUAGGUUGCUGUUGGAA
This is a ribosomal RNA of Danio rerio (zebrafish), 117 nucleotides long. Lineage: Eukaryota; Metazoa; Chordata; Actinopteri; Cypriniformes; Danionidae. The record is from Ensembl.